CAAUAACUAUGAUGGUCAAAGCUCAUGGAUAUUGCAGGUCUUUUGAUGUGCAAUUCUCCAAAGCU
This 65-nucleotide small RNA is filed under the name uncultured Streptococcus sp. RNAcentral describes it as "Streptococcus sRNA Spd-sr37". It matches the Rfam family "Streptococcus sRNA Spd-sr37". Lineage: Bacteria; Bacillati; Bacillota; Bacilli; Lactobacillales; Streptococcaceae. The record is from RNAcentral.